AUGAACGCUGGCGGCGUGCCUAAUACAUGCAAGUCGAGCGAACAGAUGAGGAGCUUGCUCCUCUGACGUUAGCGGCGGACGGGUGAGUAACACGUGGAUAACCUACCUAUAAGACUGGGAUAACUUCGGGAAACCGGAGCUAAUACCGGAUAAUAUAUUGAACCGCAUGGUUCAAUAGUGAAAGACGGUUUUGCUGUCACUUAUAGAUGGAUCCGCGCCGCAUUAGCUAGUUGGUAAGGUAACGGCUUACCAAGGCAACGAUGCGUAGCCGACCUGAGAGGGUGAUCGGCCACACUGGAACUGAGACACGGUCCAGACUCCUACGGGGGGCAGCAGUAGGGAAUCUUCCGCAAAGGGCGAAAGCCUGACGGAGCAACGCCGCGUGAGUGAUGAAGGUCUUCGGAUCGUAAAACUCUGUUAUUAGGGAAGAACAAAUGUGUAAGUAACUAUGCACGUCUUGACGGUACCUAAUCAGAAAGCCACGGCUAACUACGUG
RNAcentral lists this ribosomal RNA (496 nucleotides) under uncultured bacterium. Its description in RNAcentral is "partial 16S ribosomal RNA". It matches the Rfam family "Bacterial small subunit ribosomal RNA", at positions 29 to 507 of the family's 1533-position model. The record is from RNAcentral.